Molecule: unclassified non-coding RNA, 3140 nt
Filed under: Megachile rotundata (alfalfa leafcutting bee)
Lineage: Eukaryota; Metazoa; Arthropoda; Insecta; Hymenoptera; Megachilidae
Description: phosphofurin acidic cluster sorting protein 2, transcript variant X6
Source: RNAcentral
CGGCUAACUCAGUCAGUCAGCCGCGAGCCGCGGUGAACAGAAGGUGUGGUGAUUGUUUCUGUGGGUUGACGGGCCAAAAAUGGCGGAGCGUACGAAGACGACAGCCCCGGCCACCCGGCCCGUUCCCAUGAAGCUGUUUGCCACUUGGGAAGUAGAUCGCACAGCACCUAACUGCAUACCCAGGCUGUGCUCCCUAACUCUGACCCGACUGGUCACACUUCGGCCAUUAGGUUCCGAUUUAACUUCCAUCAGCAUCGCGGUGAAGAUGCAAAGCUCGAAGAGGACCCUCCGCUCGAACGAGAUGGCCAUACCAAUCGGUGGCAUGUUGGACACGGAACUGGAGCUUCAAUUUGCCCUUCAAUAUCCCCAUUUCCUCAAGAGAGACGGAAACAAACUUCUUAUACUGUUGCAGAGGAGGAAACGAUAUAAAAAUCGCACGAUGCUCGGAUACAAGACCCUCGCUGAAGGCGUCAUCAACAUGGCACAAGUACUACAGAAGCAAAUGGACCUGGAACUGGAACUGGUGUCGGACAAGGCUGAAAAGUACGGUGGUCAUUCGGUCGUAUUAGCUCGUGUGAGCGUGGUCGCAUUGACCUCUCAGCCAGUCGACCAGGACAAAAGACUGAUGAAUGAACCGAACGAAAGGCUUUGCCCGGAGUAUAGCGACGAGGAGGAGGAAUUCAGCUCAGAGGGCGAGGCGGAGGGCAGCGACAGUGAGCCAACUCUCGAGAUGCACAGGCGGAAGAGCCGAGCGAAGAUUCCAGCCAAUGCCAGGGUAUCAAAAUUUCCCAGAGGACUAGACCGGUUUCAUAUAUGCAAAAAGCAACGAAGUCUUUACUUGUUACAGCAAAGAAAUCUGAAGCAAAAAUUUAUAGCCCUUUUGAAACGACGCUUCAGAGUGUCCGAGGAUCUGGAUCAAGAUCAGGAAGAAAUCGGGCAGAAGCUCUCAGAGUCGUUAACACAGUACGCUGGAUUUGUUAAAGGCGGAGACAUGGAGAUCGAGGAAUUGUUCGACGAACUCGAAGAUUUGUCCGAUAGUGGUCCAGAAUUGGACACCAUGUCCGUCAGUAGCACACCUAAACCAUCCUUACGACCUUUCUUCAGCUCUAGUAGAUCGCUUCUCGCGCCUCCUAAUUCCGUAGUAACCAACGAGGAGACCGGAAGCACUCCUACGACAGCCGUAGGUCAACAGAGCGCAGGUCAGCCAGCUAAAGAGAAACACCGUAUCGGACACACCACUCCAGAACGUGGCGUGGAUAGGCAAAGCGACGAUAGUUCCCGAAGAGCGGACAGCGAUUCGCAUCCAGAAAACUGGACAGAUCACGAGGCGAAUGAUCCACCGAAUUAUGUUCCGGGUUCCCCGCCAAAAUCGGAGCAGCACAAUAAAAGUGAGAGCUCCGACAGGAGGAGCAGACUUUUUACUCGCGAUAGAGGUGCACCGGGUAUCAAUAAGUCGAAAAAACACAACCUCAGCGUGGAUUUAAAACCGCCUGCCGAUUUGAACAGCUCUGAGCCAAGGAAGGCGUUAGUCGAGCAAUUAAGCCGAGUUUUACCGGAUGACAGUUUGCCAGAUUCGGUGUCGUUGGUCUCGUUAGCUGACCCCGGUGGAGCCGUGCUUGCCACGAGACUUCAAGAAAGAAACCACAGGGUUCUGACAACCGCUUCUCCAGCGGACAUUCGUGCCACGUUCACGUGCUUGGUCACGCGAAUACAAAAAUUUUGUAACAGUUCCGCAAAACCUCCAGCGCCCAUUAAGGUGGUGAUCGCUGGCGGUGACAGUUUCAUAAACGCUGUGCUGCGUCAUUACGUGGAGCUCCUCAGCUUCCGACCACCUGAUUGGCAGAAUUAUCUGAGGUUUCUGGUCGUGCCUCUCGGUUCCAAUACACUGUCUAAGUAUCUGAGUUCGGUAGACGCGAAAUACUCGAUGCUGUUCGGCGACGAGUGGAAAGAAUUGCUUGAAAGGGAAGGUGGUGGUGCCAGCGAGGGUGCGGCGAGGGUGUCGGAAUAUUUAGCAGUGGCUGGUACAACCUUACUGCUACCAAUUGCCGAAGCCAUGGUCACGUACAGGGAAACAGACGACAGCAGUCAAAUAUUCAUCCCGUUCAUAAACGACGUUCGGGUAGGAUGUCCAGACAGCAGUUCCUCGGCAUCGGUCGAUCUCGAGGAAAGUAACGUUACCAUGUCCGGUUCCCCACCCUCGUUACCACCCCCAGGGUUACCUGUACCACCUCCUGGAAGAUUAACACCACCCAGCAGCCCCAAUGUUGGUCAACCUUCGAGAGAAGGCUGGGAACCGGUCGAGUUGCAACUCGAUUAUUGGAGCAAACAAACGCAAGGUGAAAAAGGAAAGAACACUUUGAGGCAAGCGUUCAGGGCCUUGCAUGUUCAGAGACUUCCACCCUUGGGAGAAACCCCUGGUCAUCAUCUGUCCAUGAAUUACACCACGAAGGAGAAGAAACAGAAAAUAAUGAGACUGGGUAAAAAGAAAGAGAAAGAAAAGGAAAACGAGCCAAAGAGUCAAACGGUCGAAGGCGUGACGCGACUUAUAUGUUCUGCGAAAACUCACAACAUUCCAUUAAGAGUGAGCAUCGACGGUACCGAGUGGUACGGUGUGAAAUUCUUCCAACUAUCAGCGCAAUGGCAAACGCACAUCAAGACAUUUCCAAUAGCUUUGUUGGAGUACAGUUCUCAGCAACAAGUUCCCAAUCCUACGUAAACUUCCUUUUUCUGUACAUGAGAGAGGCUAGAUAUUUUGCCGAUUUCGUUUGUGUUCAUGGAUAUUGCCAAUUAGGAUCAUCAGCUUAGCUUACGCGCAGAUCCGAUAACCAUCAAAUCCUCGAAACCAAAAACAGCAAAAAAGAGAAAAAAAAUACAUAAGAAAACGCAAUAGAGAACGAGUUUGAACAGUGAUAUCUGCUGCUUUAAACUGGAUAUCGUUGAAGCUGAUUCAGAAAUUUGAAAAUUUUGGAGUGGAAGAACAUAAAGGUCUGUUUUGGGAAAUUUCGAAAAUGAUUUGAGAAAUUUGAGAACUAGUUUGAACAACGGGACUUUUGCAUCUGCGAGCAAAUUCGUUUUAUUCCCUUUUCUUUGUUGAUGGUAUUUAUCGUUUAAUUUAUGCAAUAAAGGAGGAUCAUUGGUAA